RNAcentral lists this ribosomal RNA (468 nucleotides) under uncultured bacterium. RNAcentral's name for it is "partial 16S ribosomal RNA". It matches the Rfam family "Bacterial small subunit ribosomal RNA", at positions 28 to 507 of the family's 1533-position model. The record is from RNAcentral.
GACGAACGCUGGCGGCGUGCUUAACACAUGCAAGUCGAACGGAAAGGCCCUGCUUUUGUGGGGUGCUCGAGUGGCGAACGGGUGAGUAACACGUGAGUAACCUGCCCUUGACUUUGGGAUAACUUCAGGAAACUGGGGCUAAUACCGGAUAGGAGCUCCUGCUGCAUGGUGGGGGUUGGAAAGUUUCGGCGGUUGGGGAUGGACUCGCGGCUUAUCAGUUUGUUGGUGGGGUAGUGGCUUACCAAGGCUUUGACGGGUAGCCGGCCUGAGAGGGUGACCGGCCACAUUGGGACUGAGAUACGGCCCAGACUCUUACGGGAGGCAGCAGUGGGGAAUAUUGCACAAUGGGCGGAAGCCUGAUGCAGCAACGCCGCGUGCGGGAUGACGGCCUUCGGGUUGUAAACCGCUUUCGCCUGUGACGAAGCGUGAGUGACGGUAAUGGGUAAAGAAGCACCGGCUAACUACGUG